CCAAUGGAUUUAUUUAAAUCCACUACAUCAAAGAACCCUAAUAAAU
Molecule: non-coding RNA, 46 nt
Organism: Macleaya cordata
Lineage: Eukaryota; Viridiplantae; Streptophyta; Magnoliopsida; Ranunculales; Papaveraceae
Source: Rfam